UAUUCUGCCCUACGGGGAAGGAUGAGAAGCUUCGACUAAGGUUCGACUCGAGCGCCAGCGAGAGAACGUUGCCAAGGG
This 78-nucleotide small RNA is filed under the name Klebsiella variicola. RNAcentral describes it as "partial RtT sRNA". It matches the Rfam family "RtT RNA", at positions 1 to 76 of the family's 130-position model. Rfam says of the family: This family represents a bacterial cis-regulatory element known as RtT RNA. Lineage: Bacteria; Pseudomonadati; Pseudomonadota; Gammaproteobacteria; Enterobacterales; Enterobacteriaceae. The record is from RNAcentral.